Molecule: ribosomal RNA, 1372 nt
Filed under: uncultured bacterium
Lineage: Bacteria
Description: bacterial SSU rRNA
Rfam family: Bacterial small subunit ribosomal RNA
Source: RNAcentral
GAUGAACGCUGGCGGCGUGCCUAAUACAUGCAAGUCGAGCGAACGGACGAGAAGCUUGCUUCUCUGAUGUUAGCGGCGGACGGGUGAGUAACACGUGGAUAACCUACCUAUAAGACUGGGAUAACUUCGGGAAACCGGAGCUAAUACCGGAUAAUAUUUUGAACCGCAUGGUUCAAAAGUGAAAGACGGUCUUGCUGUCACUUAUAGAUGGAUCCGCGCUGCAUUAGCUAGUUGGUAAGGUAACGGCUUACCAAGGCAACGAUGCAUAGCCGACCUGAGAGGGUGAUCGGCCACACUGGAACUGAGACACGGUCCAGACUCCUACGGGAGGCAGCAGUAGGGAAUCUUCCGCAAUGGGCGAAAGCCUGACGGAGCAACGCCGCGUGAGUGAUGAAGGUCUUCGGAUCGUAAAACUCUGUUAUUAGGGAAGAACAUAUGUGUAAGUAACUGUGCACAUCUUGACGGUACCUAAUCAGAAAGCCACGGCUAACUACGUGCCAGCAGCCGCGGUAAUACGUAGGUGGCAAGCGUUAUCCGGAAUUAUUGGGCGUAAAGCGCGCGUAGGCGGUUUUUUAAGUCUGAUGUGAAAGCCCACGGCUCAACCGUGGAGGGUCAUUGGAAACUGGAAAACUUGAGUGCAGAAGAGGAAAGUGGAAUUCCAUGUGUAGCGGUGAAAUGCGCAGAGAUAUGGAGGAACACCAGUGGCGAAGGCGACUUUCUGGUCUGUAACUGACGCUGAUGUGCGAAAGCGUGGGGAUCAAACAGGAUUAGAUACCCUGGUAGUCCACGCCGUAAACGAUGAGUGCUAAGUGUUAGGGGGUUUCCGCCCCUUAGUGCUGCAGCUAACGCAUUAAGCACUCCGCCUGGGGAGUACGACCGCAAGGUUGAAACUCAAAGGAAUUGACGGGGACCCGCACAAGCGGUGGAGCAUGUGGUUUAAUUCGAAGCAACGCGAAGAACCUUACCAAAUCUUGACAUCCUUUGACAGCUCUAGAGAUAGAGCCUUCCCCUUCGGGGGACAAAGUGACAGGUGGUGCAUGGUUGUCGUCAGCUCGUGUCGUGAGAUGUUGGGUUAAGUCCCGCAACGAGCGCAACCCUUAAGCUUAGUUGCCAUCAUUAAGUUGGGCACUCUAAGUUGACUGCCGGUGACAAACCGGAGGGAGGUGGGGAUGACGUCAAAUCAUCAUGCCCCUUAUGAUUUGGGCUACACACGUGCUACAAUGGACAAUACAAAGGGCAGCGAAACCGCGAGGUCAAGCAAAUCCCAUAAAGUUGUUCUCAGUUCGGAUUGUAGUCUGCAACUCGACUACAUGAAGCUGGAAUCGCUAGUAAUCGUAGAUCAGCAUGCUACGGUGAAUACGUUCCCGGGUCU